UAACUUUAGGCUUACUUAACGGCCUGUUG
Molecule: non-coding RNA, 29 nt
Filed under: Rattus norvegicus (Norway rat)
Lineage: Eukaryota; Metazoa; Chordata; Mammalia; Rodentia; Muridae
Source: RNAcentral